This 237-nucleotide transfer RNA is filed under the name Pneumocystis jirovecii. RNAcentral describes it as "tRNA-Pseudo(TAA)". Lineage: Eukaryota; Fungi; Ascomycota; Pneumocystomycetes; Pneumocystales; Pneumocystaceae. The record is from RNAcentral.
UUAAUAUUAGUAUAUUUAAUAUUAUAUAUUUAAGGAUAAAAAAAUAUUGAAUAUUUAAAAAAUUAUUUUUUAAAAUAUCUUAAAAAAACUUUAAAAUGAAUAAUAUAUAAAAGUAAUAAAGUAUUGAAAAUAUUCUAAAUUUUUAGAAAAAUGAGAAUGUCUAAUAAAAUUUCAAUAAAAUGUACUAUUUACAAUAAUAAAAUAUUUAUUUAUUAUUAUUAGUAUUAAAAUCAUAAA